Molecule: small RNA, 132 nt
Filed under: Marmota monax (woodchuck)
Lineage: Eukaryota; Metazoa; Chordata; Mammalia; Rodentia; Sciuridae
Source: RNAcentral
GCUGGGCAUGGUGGUGCAUGCCUGUGAUUCCAGCAACUCAGGAGGCUGAGGCAGGAGAGGAGGAUCACAAGUUCAAAACUAGCCUCAGCAACCUAUUGAGGCACUUAACAAAUCAGCAAGACCCUGUCUCUA